This 147-nucleotide small RNA is filed under the name human gut metagenome. RNAcentral's name for it is "M-box riboswitch (ykoK leader)". It matches the Rfam family "M-box riboswitch aptamer (ykoK leader)", at positions 11 to 156 of the family's 169-position model. Rfam says of the family: M-box riboswitch, also know as ykoK leader is described as a metaloregulatory RNA that sense divalent metals and function as a genetic control element of genes related to divalent metal transport in bacteria. The record is from RNAcentral.
UUUCCGGUAGGUGAAGCUAUCGCAGGGAUACGGAUUACUGCCGCAAAGUGGUGGAGACACUACAAGCAGGUCAGCAGGCCACAUCGAAAAACAAGGUGUGAUCUAAUGUAAUUUCAUCGCCCCGCGAUGCCGAAGCUUGGACGGUAA